RNAcentral lists this transfer RNA (72 nucleotides) under Camelus bactrianus (Bactrian camel). It matches the Rfam family "tRNA". Rfam says of the family: Transfer RNA (tRNA) molecules are approximately 80 nucleotides in length. Their secondary structure includes four short double-helical elements and three loops (D, anti-codon, and T loops). The record is from Rfam by way of RNAcentral. RNAcentral also lists the same sequence under 2 other names. Lineage: Eukaryota; Metazoa; Chordata; Mammalia; Artiodactyla; Camelidae.
GAGGGUAUAGCUCAGUGGUAGAGCGCAUGCUUAGCAUGCACAAAGUCCUAGGUUCAGUCCCCAGUGCCUCCA